CGAAUGCAAAACAUGUCCUAGGCUGUAUAUACUAAGAACAGAUUGAGCAUUAGGAGAGUUGUGAUUAAGCCUGCACCAUCAAUAGGUCAACAAGCAUCUUAGUAAAAGGUCCACUAUUUUCCAAGAAGGCAGCACAUUCUGUGGAGCUUCUGAAAACAUAAGCCUGAAAAGGAAAGAGGUGGAGAAACGAGAGAACCGUACCAUAUUCGUCUAGUGGAGCCUCAUCAUAAUAAGCUGUUGUUAUGAAAGGGGAGGCCAAUCUAUCAAAAUUGGUUCCUCCAUGGUACUGCAUCAAAACCAUCAUGCAUGUGAGUUGCUGAGAAAAACAGAAGCUAAAGAAAAAGAGGAGCAGUUAAUUAUAGACAGUGAUGAUACCAUGUAG
This is a long non-coding RNA of Trifolium pratense (red clover), 382 nucleotides long. RefSeq lists it as uncharacterized. The record is from RefSeq and is a predicted model, not a curated record. The transcript is spliced from 3 exons. Lineage: Eukaryota; Viridiplantae; Streptophyta; Magnoliopsida; Fabales; Fabaceae.